UGUCAAACAUCAACAUUUCUAGUUUAGUUUCCAAUAUCGAUGCUACCCACAACAUGUCUACAGAGCCUCUAAAUACAACCAAAAAAUAUGAAAAUACCGGCAACAAGGCUCCGGCUAUACCUUACACAAAUGCCUAGACUCCGGAAUAAAAGUGACAUGAGCCACGCAGGGCCCCGAGAGGAAAGGUGCUCACCAACGCAGCUGACGGAAAGCGGAGGAGGUGCUACUGUCGGAGGACUGGAUUACCUUCUAUGGAACCACCUACAAUCAUAACACAAAUCUAGCGCUCCCGGCAAAAGGGGCGUUAGUGCCAUUGAAUAGCAUUAGUAUGUAUAACUAAACACCAGCUAAUUAGAAAGAACUAUCAAACACGAAUGAAGAAAUCACAAGUAAAACUCAAACACUUUAUAAAUGAUCACAAUGUUUUCAAAUAAAAGGGAUCACAUAGCUUCCACAUAAAUUUUCAUACCUCUAGGUUGUGUUUCAUAGUCCGUCCAGUGAGUUCACGUAUCAAUUAUACACCUAUGUGUUUCAUAGAUCGUCCAUAGGGUUCACACACCUGUUUUGUUUCAUAGCCCGCCUAAUGAGUUCACGUAUCAAAUUAUACACAUAUGCAUUUCAUGGACCGUCCAUAGGGUUCAUACACCAUAUUAUAUUAUACACCUAUGCGUUUCAUAGCCCGUCCAUAGGUCCCAUAUGUUACAGCACACACCUAUGUGUUUCAUAGCCCAUCCAUAUGUCCCACACGUUACAGUACACACCUAUGCGUUUCAUAGUCCGUUCAUAGGCCCCACAUAAAACAAAUCAAAGGCAUCACCAAGUACAUUUAUAAUUCAAGUUCUCAAGAAUAGCACAUUGAUCACGUUGGAAUGUAUCUACCACAAAUAUAGGGUCACAACACCAAUUCAUGUAAAGUAUCAACCAAAUCAAUAAUCCAAAGUUCAAUCUUACCACAUUUACAUAAGCAUCGAUAAAGCUCAAUUUCUAAAAGGUGGGGUUUUAGCCAUACAUACCUCGAUUGAGCUUUCCUUAAGUUACUAUGACACUUCAAAAACUCAAGCAAUUCCAAUCUAUUAUGAGAUAUAACAAUAUUAAACACAUAUUAGAAAGAUAUUCGUGAAACUAGCUCAUUUGAGCAUUUUAUCAAACACUAGUUGAGCAUCUUGAUUACAAAUUCCCUUUUCAAGGGUUUCCUCCAUUCUCCAACCAAACCUUCACUUAAUUAGGUUCAAUAAUCUUACCAUAAACCUAAGUUGACAUGCAAGUAAGGAAUCCACUCAUAUACUCAUGAAUCACCUCUCUAAUCACUCCUUAUAUCUAAGAAUGGAGAACAUAAAUCUAAGUUGAUAUGCAAGUAAGGAAUCCACUUUUACUCACACGAAUCACCUCUCUAACCACUUCUUAUAGCUAAGAAUGGAGAUAAGAGCUAGGGUGAUGAAAUCUUACCUCUUGGGGCGAAGAUCUAGGGUCCUCACUUGAUUAUCUUCAAGGAAUUUAUAAGAUUUUGUGGAGAAAUUUGAUGGGAGAAACUUUCCCUCUCAAAAAACCCUCUCUCCCACUCUAUAAAUACUCAGAAAAAUGCUCAAAAUGAGCUACGAUGUCAAAUAUAACGAUAGGGGGUCGGGUUUAGAUAUUAAAAAAAUAACCCCCACGAUGUCGAUUUUGCUGUAUUAGAACGGACCGCAGAAUCGACAUGCGGUCCACAGAAUGCUUCGCAGAAUCGACGCCCAAAAUUGGGCUUCUCUGGACCAUUCUGCGGCCAAAAUGCGACUACAGAGUGCAUUCUGCGGUCCAAAAUACGGUCCGCGGAAUUGGCACAGGACAUCAAUUUCCAGCCUUUGGUAAUUUGAUCAUAACUUUGUGUAGGAAUGUCCGAAUGACAAACGGUUUGAAGCGUUGGAAACUAGACUCAAAGGGAUCUCAUUUGAUAUUCUAUUCAACACAUAAAACCUUAUACAUAGUUAUAUAUGCUCUUUUGAAUUGGAGCCUUGUGCGAAUCCAUUUGGAAUUUUGGCCUAUUUCGAAAAUUUUCCCAUUUGGCNNNNNNNNNNNNNNNNNNNNNNNNNNNNNNNNNNNNNNNNNNNNNNNNNNNNNNNNNNNNNNNNNNNNNNNNNNNNNNNNNNNNNNNNNNNNNNNNNNNNCUCUACUCCCAUAUCACUUACCAUAAGACUUAUUCUAAUAUUUACCAAGUCUAAUUGAUGUCCACCAUGUUAAUAGUAUAUCAAAGUAUUAUAACAAGCCUGCGUGACACUACGAAAUUCAAAAUUAAAUAGCGAAAUUUCCUGGGGCCUUACAUUCCCGAACAUGCAUAGAUCUCUAAAGGAAAACCAUGUUAAUAGUACAUAAAAACAUUAUAAUAAGCCUGUGUGACACUACAAAUCCUAAAUUACUUAGCGAAAUAUUUCGGGGCCUUACAUUCUCCCCCCUUAGAAUCAUUCGUCCUCGAAUGAGGAGUAGAGUCUUCCCCAAACACUUUAACAUAACAUAUCUCUUUUCUAACCUACCUCAAGUCCCUAAAUUUUGACUAACUCCCAAAAAGUUUUUUAGAAAUUUCAGCAGAGCCUCCUUUGUAACUAGGUCUAUCCACUUGCCAGAGAAUAACCAAAUUCGUCUCAUCAAAACAUCCACAACUAUACCUAGCACCACAAUGUAUAUAUCCCCAAUCCUAAUCCAGUAUCACAAGCACUACAUUAUCAUAAGGAUACCAGAUCAUGGACUGCACAGUUUUAUAUCAAAACACAUAUAUUGUACAUUACAAGUCAAAACUAACCGCUAUUCAAUCAAGCGAAAAUAUUUUCCUCCCACGACACAUUUAGCCUUCCAGAUGACAUUAUCUACUUACAAGGAUUGUCAUGACACCUUCUCAAAAAUAACAUCAACUCCCAAACAUACAUUACAAGGAUGAUAGAUAAACAUCUUGCAUGAGAUAAUUAUCCAUUGACUUUACCUUUUGACAAUUUCCACUGUACAAUUUACAUUUCACCGGAUAUUGCAAUUCAUGGUAACAACAUCAACCCACAAUUCCCUUACAUAGCAUCGUGCCAUCAAGAAUGUCAUUUCAUAGUAAACAAACAAUCAUGUAUUCAUAAUAGUCCUUACCAGCCAUUAAUGUAAGCACAAUGGUGUUCAUCAACAAGAAUAUAAUUUCAUUUCAAUCAACAGUCCAUAUGAAGUCAAGCCAUCAUGAUUCUUUCUAGUAAUGCAUCACAUAGGAUAUUACCAUGAUCAUAUAGUUCAUUUAAACCAACUCAUUACCUUCUUAGACAUAACAUAUGGAAACACAAAGUACAUGAGAAACAGUUACGGGGGAUAUCAUACUUCUAUUGCAACUUAAUGUGUAAUACAGUCAUGUUACCUUUAUUAUCAACUCACUUAACAUUUUUAGGGGAACACUCACACUAAGCCCUUGAUGACCUUUAAUAGUUACUCUAAGAUGUGAUACCAUAAACUGACCAUAAAAUUAUCUAUCCAAUAUAUUAUAUAUAUGAAGGAUAUAGAAUCCAUUAAUGCGCUGAGUAGAGUACUUUAUGAGGUCAUAUACUAAUAGACACAAAAUUUUACUACUAACAAUACUGACAUGGUUAAUCACUGUGACUACCUCAAUUAAUACACAAAUGAAGCAUACGAGUAAGUAGUACAUGUGAAAUAGGAAUCAUUAAGGAGGAAUACUCAAGUACAUGAACUACUCACUUUCCAGAGUGUAGGGAAAAUCCGUCUAUCCAGAAUAAGAAUAAUCUGGCAGAUUGAAUGUUAUGGGUUUCAAAAUACAUGAAAUUGAAUUACACUCUUAGAAUUACAUGACGCACAGAAUCUAUGCCACAAGCCUAUAAAGAUGGAAAGAAUUUAACGCUUAUGAGAUUACCAUAUUUUAGACAGCUUAACACUUCGUGGUAAUUGAUCAUAUAUGAGGGAACUAAAAACAUGACCAUUUGUCACUCAAAUAAACAUGUUCAUGAUAUGUACAAAAUCCAAAGUCAUCUAAUCUCAACCUUUCACGAGAUCUGAACCUUUCACGAGUGAAACUCCAAUAAAAUUCGAUGUCAUCUAAUCUCAACCUUUCACGAGUGAAACCCCAUAGCUAGGAAAUUUUGAUAUUAGGACAAAAUCAUGAAUUGGCUAGAUGGUUCUAAUAGUUAACAUGAUGCUCCGAAGAUAAGGAAUAUAACACUCCUAUACAGCUAAAAAGGCGAGAUACCAACGGUAGUAUAACUCUCUGCACAUGACAAUGACAUAGUCAAGGAUUUCAGAAGUUGAGGGUGUAAAGAAAACCAAACUCAAUGAGAUAGUGCAUAAUAACCGUUGAAGGUUUGCAGAUGUUCAUAAUGGGAUCUCCAUAGGUUUUGACUUGAAGGAAAAAGGAGGUGUCAUACUGACACAUAGAGGGGCAUGUUCUCUCAUGGCUAUUGUACGAGUGUUGGGUACUAGCACAACGAAUUCACUAAAUAAGGAAUGCAAGUAGCACAUUGUGGAGACAUAAAGAGAAAAUGAUCAUUUGUAUGAGUUGGACAUGCAUAUGUUAUUCUAACUUCCAAACUGCAAUAAAAUUCCACAUCUCAGGUAACCACAAUACUAGAAACUAAGUGAGCUACUUACUAUGGGAUAUCUCAAGUGGACACGAAAAUUAUGGUGACACAAGAUCUUCCUAUGAUGGGGAUAUAAGUACCCCUACUUUCAGAGAGGCUUUAUGCACACGGUAACCAUUUCAAUUUACAUGCACUCAUGUGAUAGGUGUUAAGGUAUACCCUUAUGUUAUUAGGAAGUGGGAAGCUUUCAUGAUGAUAUUCGCAAGAGAGUAGAUUGACUAUCCGAACCAUUUAAUCUAUAUAUGCAACAGUGGGAAGCUUUCAUGAUGAUAUUCGCAAGAGAGUAGAUUGACUAUCCAAACAAUUUAAUCUAUAUAUUCAACUGAGUAAAACAGUGACUUGACAAGGAUCACAACGUUGGGAUACUUUUCAUGGGACUUGACACCACAUAGGAAAACUCGACAUAUAUAGGCUCAAGCGAGUAUAUUUUUGUCCAAUUAAAUAAAAAGAUUCUGUAAAAAAAAAUCAUCGGAUAUAAUCCCUUGGUGAGAAUUUAGGAAACUCAAGUGGGAAGUAUUAAUAGUGUUAUAACUCAUUUCAUGAUCGUACUUAUAGAGCCCAAUUCCAUAGGAGGUUGUGAAUAAUAAAGCUGUGAUUGGGAGACAAUGUAAAUAAUACGCCCCAUUCAAAGAUUCGAUACACCGGACGUUUUAUUAUUCAACGCCUUGUUAGGACCACGUUUAUGAGAACUCUUCGAUAUAGAUGUACAUAUACAAUGAGUAGAAAUUCUGAUUUUGACUCACUCAACGACAUUAGGUUGAUAGAGAAGUAGCUUAAUCAAUACCCUCGACUCCACAUCUCUAACGUACGUAGUUAACAUGCUGACAUACCACCUACUCAAUAUAAAACAUCCUUUCUAAGUACUUAACUCGUGUUGUAAGCAUGUGUAAACACCUCAAAUCCCAUUCCCAUCUCACCUGAUCAUUUCUGUAUCAGUUAACUUAUCGAGUUUGGAGGUAUAAACAUGUAAGAAAGUAUCACCCCAUGGUCAGUCUUCCAUGGCACGAAAUUAAAUGGUCAUACCUAUUCACAUACAUCAUAGAACAAAUCGAGUUUGAAGGUCUAAACAUGUAAGAAAGUAUUACCCCAUGGUCAGUCUUUCAUGACAUGAAAUUACAUGGUCAUAAACAUACAUCAUAGAACAAAAAAAGGGGUUAAAGGAAUUACUUGUUUCUCUUCAGGUGUUGGGGCAGUGCCUUAGCUGAUGUCCCUUAACUCCGCACCCGAAACACUCAUCAGUGCCCUUACGACACACCCCUAGAUAAUGCCUCCUACACUUAGGGCGACGAGUUGCUGCUGCCUCUCAUGGCUCCCACUUGACUGGACCUGUUAGUUAGAUUUCACAUUGCCUCGGUCUUGCAUAUUAUGGCCACACUGCUACUUAUCAGGCCCUGAGGGUAGAGCCUUAGCUGAGGUCCGAAGGAUUGACUGUGAGGGUUCGGAUGACACUCCCUUGUGUGAUUCUUUCCCACCAUAAACAUUACCCUCACUAUAAGAGCCAUUAUAAUUGCUCGCAGCUCGGCUCUUUUUGUUACCCUCUCUCUCGAUUCUGUUCUUCAAUUUACG
Molecule: long non-coding RNA, 6149 nt
Filed under: Nicotiana benthamiana
Lineage: Eukaryota; Viridiplantae; Streptophyta; Magnoliopsida; Solanales; Solanaceae
Description: long non-coding RNA (NBEN_LNC021166)
Source: RNAcentral